Molecule: ribosomal RNA, 441 nt
Filed under: uncultured bacterium
Lineage: Bacteria
Description: partial 16S ribosomal RNA
Rfam family: Bacterial small subunit ribosomal RNA
Source: RNAcentral
CUACGGGGGGCAGCAGCAAGGAAUUUUGUGCAAUGGGCGAAAGCCUGACACAGCGACGCCGCGUGGGGGAAGAAGGCCUUCGGGUUGUAAACCCCUUUUCCCAGGGAAGAAUAAUGACGGUACCUGAGGAAUAAGUCACGGCUAACUACGUGCCAGCAGCCGCGGUAAUACGUAGGUGGCAAGCGUGUAUCCGGAUUUAUUGGGCGUAAAGAGGGUGUAGGUGGUCUUUCAAGUUGGAUGUAAAAUUUCUCGGCUUAACCGGGAGGGCGCGUCCAAUACUGUUAGGCUGGAGGGCAGCAGAGGGAGGUGGAAUUCCCGGUGUAGUGGUGAAAUGCGUAGAUAUCGGGAGGAACACCAGUGGCGAAGGCGGCCUCCUGGGCUGUUACUGACACUGAGACCCGAAAGCGUGGGGAGCGAACAGGAUUAGAUACCCCGGUAGUC